Molecule: long non-coding RNA, 4689 nt
Filed under: Gallus gallus (chicken)
Lineage: Eukaryota; Metazoa; Chordata; Aves; Galliformes; Phasianidae
Source: RNAcentral
CGGGACAGAAAGUUCGGCAUCGACGGGGCGGGAGGUGGGGGCGCUGCCCCGCGCCUUUGUUCAGCGGGGAGAGGACCUGCGGCGGAGCCGAGACGACCGCGCAGAUAGGCACGCACCCGGCAGCGCGGCCCCGCGCCCACGGGACGAGGAGGAGGAGGGAGGCAGAAGGUCCCCUUGCAGCCUCCCUCACUCUCUCCCUCCCUCCAAGGUCAAAACAUGGCUGUCCAAAGAAUGGGAUGCUUGCCAAAACAUCAAUCUGUGCUGAGUGCCAUACUCAUUAUCCUUCCAGUGGUGGAUUACAACUCGGGUCUCCUCAGGAGGUGACUGAUGUGGAACAAACUGUACGACUGUCUUUGCUGUUUGGAUACGUGUGUAAGUUAACGGGCUACUGGGAGAAGAUGAAGAGGCUUUUGCAGAAAAAUGAGGAUAUCAUGGGAAGUGCUGCUGCUAACCAUUUGGAUUAUAUUGCUGUCUGACACAGAAGUUCUGCAGAUUACGUAAGGAACUCUCCAGAUCUUUUUUGUUAUGUGAUUGCUGAAGCAUUUUCCUGGCACAGCAGUAAUGAUUGAUGAACACACUUCAGGGCUGUCCGCAUAUACAGAGGUGCAGCACAGCCCCUGGCUCUCAAUACAACCUUCAGAUGAAGGAGGAAAAAUAACAGUUCCAGGCAUUGUAAAAGAGGACCUUCUUCUCUGAUGAGGACAUUGCUGAGUUUAACUAGCAGAAGGUAAGCAUGGCUAGAGGAUGGCAAAUCUGGGUGGGACAUAACCACGGAUAUUAUCAACACAGCCUCAAAGGUGUGUUUUCCUCUCUGUAGCUCCCAGCAGCCUUCCUGAGGUUGCUGAAUUAAACCAGACUAGCUGGCUGGAAAGAUGGACGUAUUUGGAAUAUUUUUGGUACACAUUCAUUUCUCCUCAUUCUGCCUUCCAAACAACGUGUCCUAUGGGCAGCAUGCUGUACUGUCAAAUAUUUUAAGCAUGGCCUCUUCCUACCUUGUUGCACCUGUUUAUCUACUCUGUUUGACCCCAGCUCCUUCAGAUGGCAGUCUCAGUGUAAUGACAGACUUGUACAGUUCCUUAUGCAAUCUGUGUGCCAAAGCCAACCACAGUUAUCCCCCCAGCUCCUGAUCUGGGCAGCAGUGUGAAAUCACUGCCAUGAGGUCACUGCACUGCUGUGCCCUUGGGUCCAGCUCCUAGCCACAUAUGGCUCACUGUCACAUACAUGUAUCACCGCUGACUGUGUCUUCACGUGGUGAUGCACUGAACAUGGAUUGCUGUUGUCUCCUCUCUAAUUGAAAGGAGAUCUUCCCAAUAUAUUUUGUUAGUGUGUGAUUUUUUGUUUUUUUAAAUUAUUCCUUUAUAAGCUUUUUUAAUUUAUUUUAUUCCUUUAUAAGCUUAUAUCCCUGCAUACAUCCUAGCAAAAAAGAAAUGGGCUGAUAAAGAUUUAGAUAGGCACUCUAAGAAUGAGGAUGACAUUCAAGCUCAAAAGAGAAAAAAAAAAAAUUCUGAAAGUCAACCCUGUUAUAUUUUCUGUUCUUUUCUUUCAACUUCUAAAAUGUCACUGCCAAGAGCAGUGACCACAGUGGUGAAUGAAGCUAUGGAAAAAGAGAACUGAAUCUCUGUUUGUGUUGUCGUUAUAAGAUCUUGUCCCCUCUGUUCUGAAAAUGUGACUCAGGGAAAUGUGUGCAUAGAAUUUCAGAAAUAAAUACCUGGUCUCUUUCUAGCAUGAAAAUACUUGGAAUGCGAAAAGAUUACCUUUAUGCAUAUGCUUUGUUUGUGAAAUGGAUUGGUGAAAUUUGGCAUGCUUCUUAAAGAGGCCUUUUGCCAGUCUUUCCCCAUAGUUUUAAGUCAUGCCUUUGCAUAAUGAUGUAAUCUACAGUGGGCAGGAAGAAUUCAGCAUAACUAUGAAUAAUGGCAGUAUUUGUGGUGAACUGGUCGUGACAUUCUCACUUGAGCAUUUCUCUUUGGGAACUACUUCUUCAAGUCAUGAGGCUUGCAGUAACGUCAAGAGAAAGAUCAGCACAAGAAUAGCCUGGGUGAGGGAGAAAGAGGACACUUGUUUUAGAGGGUCCACCACAGAAGGAAAGGAAAAGAGACUUGCUUGGAAUACUGACAUUUUUAGUCAUCUCUUUGUGACAUUCCCUCCACCACCCCCACAUAUUCUAUAUGUCUGCAGCCAUCUGCACAAAACUCACCGGAAUCCCAGUGAGGGGGAAAAACAACUUGUAAGAAACUAGGUGAGUAGAGAAGUAAAGGGGAAGCACUGAGCUGGUAAGAGCUUCUCAGCAGUAUUUAAGAGCAAACAAACGAACAACAAAGACAACCAUAAACAAAAAAAGCUGAAAAAAGAGUUUAUGCUUUUAAAUGUGCUGGAAUCAGACAUGCUACUCCAGAUAUAGAUUCUUCUGGGCAGAGGAAGUAGGGAAAUGUGUUAGUUCUUAGGACAGUGUUAAAGUAGGGACAGAAUGUAAACGGUGUCAUGUCAGAAUGAGCUACAUCCAUCAUGCCUCAUUGGUGUCCAUUGGUAUCUUUGAAGGUUAGGUGUAUAGAGAUAAGUUAUUUAUUAUGUAGUAGACAGAAAUAUGUGAAGAAAGCAGGCCUCCCAGUUGUAACUUAAAAAGGCAAAGAUGCUCCUAUGGGUAAAUACUUGCAGUCGUUACAAAUAGGAAUAACUUGGGCACUAGUUUUGAGUAAGAGCAGGUUUAAAGUAAUGUGGUAAUGCUGAUUAGAUGUGUAGAGUUUAAUUGCAUUCUGCAAAAAUAUGUUUACAGGAAGACAAGUUAAAUGGGAAAGGAAUAUCUGUGGUUCAGGACAGAAGAAUUAUUAGUGUUUCAGUGACUUUUGUAAACUUAAAAUCUGGGAUGUCAGGUGUUGAUUGAGAAUGUUACAAGUACUCAGGCUUAGUUUAAAUUCAGUCUCCCAAAAUUUGUUUAAAUAUGUGAGUAAGAAUUCCAAAUAUUGUGGUGGCAGAAGAGCUAACACUUAUUACAUUGUUCAUGUGUCAUUUACAGGACACUGGGAACAGUCAAAGAAGCAGAAAGUUAUACCAUUCUUCUCUAUUGUAAAAUAUUACUGAAAAAAUCAACAAGAGAAGCAGAAAACAUGAUUGACAAUUUUGAAAAAAGUGAUACAAAGAGAACAUUUGGCACUGUGUCCUUUGUGUUACUUAAGAGAUUCUUCCAAUGUACCAAAAAAUAACUCUGUCCUCAAAAAAGACAAAAGAAAACCGUGUCAAAUAUGGUACAUUUCUGACAGUGUGGUGAAUUUCUGCAGGUAUUUUUCAAACGUAAAAUGAAUUAUUCUAAACAACAGUAGCCUUAUUCAAGAUUUCACAAAGUUACACAAAGCAUAUUAAAAUGGUGUAUUUUGUUCUGAAGUCCAGUUGAUCCAUAGUUAAAAGGGUUGAAGCUAACCUUGUAACCUAGUGCAGCGAGGGUAUGUUCAAAAUUGUUAGUAGUAAUGAGCCUGAAAUGUGACCUAUAGUUUUCAAAACAGUUGGAAAAAGUAGUUUCACACAGUGAAUGAUCAAACUUCUUUAAAAUACAUUCUGCAUUUUAUCUGACUUGUGUAAGAAUUUGUAACCAGAGACUAUAGAUCAAUCACUCAUCCGAAGUAAGCAGGGAUGUUAACUUAGCAGAGGAAGGAAUAACCAGCUUUUUUUUUUUGUCUCAGUUGUGUGACAAAAGUAUAUGGAAGUUCCAGCUGAAAGUAAGGGCCUGUGUUGUUUGGUCGUGUAUAAAACUAGUGUACACUGCACAGCUCGGUGUAAGAAAAGAUUGCAUAGAGAGUGUAUGCAAUAAAGUAUCUGACAUGAGAAAGUUAUAUGAAGAAUUUUGUGAGGAAGGAGUAGGAAUAAUUAUAUAAAAUUUAUUUUGCUAUGAUUAAAAUCAUGCAGAUGAUAGCCUGAAUUCUUGUGAUUUUGCCUUUCAUUUGAGAAGGAGUGUGUGGGAAGUUUGAUUUUAAGCUGAAGUAACCUAAAUGAUCUGCAUUAUUUGGGAAUACUUUUAAUUUAAUGCCCUGUGAUGCAGUAGUUUAUGAGAAGAAUUUCACUCAAUCGUGACCCAGAAAUAUUAAGUGUUCCCUUAAUGAACAAUACCCAAUUCUUCACUGAAACCAUGAGGCAGUCUUUUCUUAGGCAGACAGUUGAGUUUUUCAGUAUAAUAUCUGUAACACUGCACAACAAUAUUUACAUACACAGAAUGGGCAAUUGAACACUUCAGACCAAUUCAUAGUUGUUGCAGUGGGCUUAACUUCUUUGAAAUGCAUUGAUGCCCCAGCCUACAAGAUGGCUCAAUAUGAUCUCUCAGCUUUUCAAAGCUAUGUUACUGAAAAUACUAUGGAGGCUGACUUGGAAAUUUGUUUCCUAAUUAUACUGUUCCUUUCCUGCUAAGGAUGUGGCUUCAAUCAGUUACUUACUUACUUGCCCUGGGUUUUCACUUGUUAAAAUCUUUCUUUUCUCAGUUAGUACCCAAAGCACAAAUCCGUGAUUGGCUUAUGCAGAAAGUGUGAGGUGAACAGUUCAUUCAAUUCCUUGCAUCUCCAAAAGAUGAAACAGCAGUAAGAAAACAAUUGUGAUGUCUCAUUUCAUUUAAUCUGCUUUUAUUGUGCAAGUGCUCAUGGUAUUAGAAUACCCUCACUAACGACUGCACUGUGGUUAUCAACUGAGCCUCACUGCAGGCGUAAGGUCCUC